Molecule: ribosomal RNA, 253 nt
Filed under: uncultured bacterium
Lineage: Bacteria
Description: partial 16S ribosomal RNA
Rfam family: Bacterial small subunit ribosomal RNA
Source: RNAcentral
UACGGAGGGGGCUAGCGUUGUUCGGAAUUACUGGGCGUAAAGCGCACGUAGGCGGCUUUGUAAGUUAGAGGUGAAAGCCCGGAGCUCAACUUCGGAAUUGCCUUUAAGACUGCAUCGCUUGAACGUCGGAGAGGUGAGUGGAAUUCCGAGUGUAGAGGUGAAAUUCGUAGAUAUUCGGAAGAACACCAGUGGCGAAGGCGGCUCACUGGACGACUGUUGACACUGAGAGACGAAAGCUAGGGGAGCAAAUGGG